GAAGAUCCGGACUCUGGGUGUUUUGCUACCGUGACCGUUUAGACAGAAACUGUUCAUACUUGGUGCGCUGUGGACUCUUGUGAUAAUUAACCAAGAGUAGCUCUAUUUGUCCAACCUCACACCUAAAGAAGAAAGAAAAUGGCUUGUGCUGAGUUUUCUUUUCAUGUACCAAGUCUUGAAGAGCUUGCUGGAGUAUGCAGAAGGGGUUAAAAGAUAACUUUGCUGAUGUCCAGGUCUCUGUAGUUGAUUGCCCUGAUUUGACUAAGGAACCCUUUACCUUUCCUGUAAAAGCAUCUGUGGGAAAACUAGAAUUGCAGAAGUUGGAGGUGUGCCUUACUUAUUGCCUCUUGUAAACCAAAAAAAAUUUAUGAUCUGAAUAAAAUUGCAAAAGAAAUCAAGCUGCCUGGAGCCUUUAUUCUUGGAGCAGGAGCAGGUCCAUUUCAGACUCUCGGGUUCAAUUCUGAGUAAUUGAGGUGAAAGCCAAAAGAAGAACUGGACCACUUAACUUUGUGACUUGUAUGAGAGAGACCCUGGAAAAACAUUAUGGAAAUAAGCCUAUAGGAAUGGGAGGUACUUUCAUAAUUCAGAAGGGAAAAGUGAAGUCUCACAUUAUGCUGCAGAAUUUUCUUCCUGCCCCUUGAACUCUGAUGAAGAAGUGAAUAAAUGGUUGCAUUUUUAUGAAAUGAAA
Molecule: long non-coding RNA, 688 nt
Filed under: Homo sapiens (human)
Lineage: Eukaryota; Metazoa; Chordata; Mammalia; Primates; Hominidae
Description: long non-coding RNA NONHSAT023690.2
Source: RNAcentral